CAUUGAAGCACUAGUUCUUGUACAAUCACUGAAGUUAAGCAACAGUGUGCCUGAUCAGUAUUUAGAUGGGUGACUGCUUGGGAAUAGCAGGUGAUGUA
Non-coding RNA from Acanthosepion pharaonis, 98 nucleotides. The record is from the annotation of a GenBank genome assembly. Lineage: Eukaryota; Metazoa; Mollusca; Cephalopoda; Sepiida; Sepiidae.